This 451-nucleotide ribosomal RNA is filed under the name uncultured Thiobacillus sp. Its description in RNAcentral is "bacterial SSU rRNA". It matches the Rfam family "Bacterial small subunit ribosomal RNA", at positions 924 to 1382 of the family's 1533-position model. Lineage: Bacteria; Pseudomonadati; Pseudomonadota; Betaproteobacteria; Nitrosomonadales; Thiobacillaceae. The record is from RNAcentral.
CACAAGCGGUGGAUGAUGUGGAUUAAUUCGAUGCAACGCGAAAACCUUACCUACCUUCGACAUGUCCGGAAUCCUGCAGAGAUGCGGGAGUGCCGAAAGGAAUCGGAACACAGGUGCUGCAUGGCUGUCGUCAGCUCGUGUCGUGAGAUGUUGGGUUAAGUCCCGCAACGAGCGCAACCCUUAUCAUUAGUUGCUACGCAAGGGCACUCUAAUGAGACUGCCGGUGACAAACCGGAGGAAGGUGGGGAUGACGUCAAGUCCUCAUGGCCCUUAUGGGUAGGGCUUCACACGUCAUACAAUGGUCGGUACAGAGGGUUGCCAAGCCGCGAGGUGGAGCCAAUCCCAGAAAGCCGAUCGUAGUCCGGAUUGUUCUCUGCAACUCGAGAGCAUGAAGUCGGAAUCGCUAGUAAUCGCGGAUCAGCAUGUCGCGGUGAAUACGUUCCCGGGUCUU